This 5405-nucleotide long non-coding RNA is filed under the name Marmota monax (woodchuck). The stretch from base 4539 to 4601 matches the Rfam family "tRNA", at positions 5 to 66 of the family's 71-position model. Lineage: Eukaryota; Metazoa; Chordata; Mammalia; Rodentia; Sciuridae. The record is from RNAcentral.
AGUUGCUUAGCGCCUUGCUUUUGCUGAGGCUGGCUUUGAACUCGAAAUUCUCCUAUCUCAUCCUCCCAGAGCCUUUGGGAUUACAAGUAUGCGCUGCAGUGGCCAGCUUUAAAUAUGUUUAUGAGUGGCAUAGAAGUAUAGGUAAACUAGGCACAGUGACACAUGCCUGUAAUUCCAGUGACUCUGGAGGCUGAGGCAGGAGGAUCCCAACUUUUAAGGCCAAUCUGGGCAACUUAGCAAGACCCUGUCUCAAAAUAAAAAGGGCUGGGGAUAUAGCUCGGUUGCACAGCAUUCUGAGUUCAAUUUCCAGUACCAAGAAAAAAAAGGAAGGUUGGGGUGAUUAGAGAAAACUUUCACAUUUUGUGGGUAAAUACUAAAAGAGGGUAGUUGAAUGGACUAAUGAAUUCUUAGAGUUGGAAAGGAGUUGAAUAGGUAGACUUUUAAUGAGUUUUUACAUUUUCAACAUUACUUUUUGAAUAAAUAUUGAGUAGCAAAUUAUUAUUAUUAUUAUUUUUUUUUAAUAUUUAUUUUUUAGUUUUCUGCGGACACAACAUCUUUGUUUGUAUGUGGUGCUGAGGAUCGAACCCGGGCCGCACGCAUGCCAGGCGAGCGCGCUACCGCUUGAGCCACAUCCCCAGCCCUUGAGUAGCAAAUUAUAUGACAUCUAUUUGAUGAAACAUGUUACUUCAUAAACAUUCUGCGAUAUUAAAAACAUUUUAUAACUUUUAGUGUAUACUGACUUUGUCAUGAUAUCUGACUAUGGCUCCUAGAAAUAAUUCUGUAGACAAAAGUACCGAUUUAGUAGAGGAUUUUUGUUUUUGGUUCAGGGCAUUGAACCCAGGUGUGCUUUAUCACAGAGCCACAUCCCCAGCCCUUUGUAUUAUUUAUUCACUUAUUUUUUACUUUUUUUUAAAAAAAUGUAUGAGUUCUAAUCAGUUAUACAUGACAGUAGAAGGGCUUUUCCAUUCGUUUUAUUUUGAGAUAGGAUCAGGCUACCUCCCAACUUGUGAUCCUCCUGCCUCAGCCUCCUGAGUCGCUGGAACUACAGGCAGGCACCAUUGCUUCUGGCUCAAUUUACUGGUUUUUAAGAAUUAUUUAAUGAUAAGUGGGUGAAUGUCGUGAACUUUGAAUACAUAAUCUGGAAUUAAGAAUUACUCUUACAAAAUUUCUUCAUUCAACAUGUACUUAUUGAACAUCUACUAAUUUCUGGGUACCAGGGUAGACCGAGGAAUAUAAUGAUGCACAGAAAACUGUUGGUUCUUUUAGGAGUUUAUUUUCUAGGACAGAAGUCAACAGGCACAGUAGGACUUGAUGAAUGUAGAAACGGGGAAAUAGAGGCAGUACCUCAGAAGAGCAUUUAACUAACUCAUGUUUCUGGUUGAGCUUUGUGGGGUCUGUAUGUGUCUUCUUAAGGAUUAUACCAGGGUUGACCAUAGGAGGGAGCACUAAGUAGAAGAUAAAGAGGGAAGAGGACCAUUUAUAUGGGCAGAUGCAACAUUCUGUUUAUAAGCUUGGUGAGAGUAGAGGAACCUGAGGUGUCUAGAGCUCUGAAUAAAGGUUUCCCAAUUAUCUGCUCCCUUUCUUUCUUUCUUUUUUUUUUCUUUUAAAAAAUGUGUUCUUUUUAGGUAUACAUGACAGUAGAAUGUAUUUUGAUGUAUUAUACAUAUAUGAAGUAUACCUUCUUGUGGUUUUACAUGAUGUGGAGUUUCAUUGGUUGUGUAGUCCUAUAUGAACAUAGAAGUUAUGUUCGAUUCAUUCUACUCUCUUUUCCUAUCCUCCCUCCCUUCCCAUCAUCUAAUCCAAUGAACUUCUGUUCUGCUGCACCCUCCUUAUUUAUUGUGUGUUAGCAUCCGCAUAUAGAGAGAACAUUCAGCCUUUAGUCUUUUGGGAUUGUCUUAUUUCACGUAGCGUAUCUUAUUUCACAUAGCAUGAUAGUCUCCAGUUCCAUCCAUUUACUGGCAAAUGGCAUAAUUUCAUUCUUUUUAUGGCUGAGUAAUAUUCUGUUGUGUAUACAUACCACAUUUUCUUUAUCUGUUGUUGAAGGGCACUAACUAUUGUGAAUUGAGCUGCUAUAAACAUUGAUGUGGCCAUAUAUAUAUAUAUAUAUAUAUAUAUAUAUAUACACACAUACAUAUAUACAUAUGUAUAUAUAUAUAUACACAUAUGUAUAUAUGUAUAUAUAUAUAUAUUUAUUUAUUUUUUCUUUCUGGCUUUAAGUCUUUGGGUAUAUGCCGAGGAGUGUAGCAACUGGGUCAAAUGGUGGUUCCAUUCCAAGUUUUCCAAGGAUUUUCUUUCAUUCCCUUUCUUUUUAAUGUGUCUCAUUUUAUAGAUUAUAAUUUUCUAAGGACAAAAAGUAUGUCUUGCAUUAUGGCAUUCACAACUAUUGAGAAAAUGAAAAACUUUUCCUAAGUGUCUAAUAAAUAAAUACUUUUCGCCUUUAAAGGGAAAAUGACACGAAUUUAGCAAGUUCUUUAAUUAAAAAAAUUCAGAAUUAUGAGAAAGUUUGUAAGUUUUAUGAUUUUGAUUUUACUGUUAUGUUUUACAAUGUAAAUACAUCUGGUUAAUGAUGGUACAGUACUUACAUCUCUUUUUCCUCUCUAAACCAACCACAAAAUAAUAGAAAUAGAAUUAGAGAAAAGAAACUCAAAUCUGGAAUGACUACCAUAAGCUCAUAAUCAGAAUAUGUGAACAUUAGAUGUCCUUAGGUGCAGAGAAAAUUAAAUCAAGACAAGAUGCUAAGAAAGAAUGAUUUCCUCUUUAGAAUCAGGUUGGUGAGGGGAGCAGCUUUCUCCCAAGUAGGUGACACACCCUGAGGGCAAUAACUUCUUGCGUGGAAUGACAAAGUAGGGCAUGUAUUGGGCUCCCCAAGUGGCCCAGGAGGUGGGGCAGAAUUAUAAACUGCAGUCCUACCAUUUUUGCAAGUUCAAAAUGGAUGGAGCAUAAUGGCGCAUACCUAGAAUGCCAGGGAUUCAAGAGGCUGAGGCAGGAGAACUGCAAGUUCCAAGACAGCACAGGCAAUUUAGCAAGAUCUUCUCUCAAAAAAAGGGGUGGGGAUGUAGCUCAGAGGUAGUGUCCCUGGGUUCAAUCCCUAGUAAUGCUCCUCCCUGUCCCCCCAAAAAAAUAGGGGCAGAAAUUGUUAGCAAGGAAACUCAACAUCUGCUCAUGUUUAUCAACUAAAAAGGAAUCAAGGCUAAAGAAUCAUCCCUUUCAAAUCUAUGCCAAGUGGAUACUUAUGGGCUUGGGAAAGUAGUCCAGCAAGGAGUUAGAACCUCCAGAGAACAGUGAUAAAAAUUUUCAAAAACGAGGGGCUGGGGACGCAACUCAGUGGUAAGAACCUGCUUGGCAUGCUUGACUUGCUUGGCCUUCAGUUCCACCCCCAGGACUGGGGGGGAAACUUUUUCAAAAACAGCAGAGUAGGUGAAAAUUGUGAUCAAGUAGUUCCAGUGGGAGGAGAUGGGGUGGAGUAGUGGUGAGGCAUGGCUCCUCUGAAAUUAGAAUUUAAAGAUGAGAUUUUAAAGUUCAAGAAAAACAAUAACAACUGAAAGAAAAGAGAUAAGAGUGAGCUGAUGAAACCAGUGUACAGAAUAAAGAGAAAAGCAUGGUUAUUUAUACAAAUGAAUGUUAACUUUCAAAGCAAUAGAUAAUGGAGGCAAGCUUGAGAAAUUUAAGAAAUCAAAAAAGAAAAAAUUAAAGACUUUAGAGACAAUGAUAGAUAAGGAAUAUAGUGCAUCUAGCAUACCAAUAAUUGAUACCAUCGAGGAUGUCAACACAAUAAAUGAAGGAGGCUGGGCAUACACUCCUAUAAUCGUGGCUGUUCAGAAGAUUGAGGCAGAAUUGUUGAGUUCAUCGCCAGGCUGGGUAAUUUAGUGAGACACUGUCUUAAAAUAAAAAGUGAAAAGGGAUGUGGAAGUAGCUCAGUGGUAUAAGUGUUUUGCUACUAAGCCACAUCCCUAGCCCUUUUUAUUUUGAGCCAGGAUCUCACUUAAGUGCCCAUGGUCUCACUAAAUUGCUGAGGUUGGCCUUGGACUUGUGAUCCACCUGCCUCAGCCUCCUGAGCUGCUAGGAUUACACAUGUGCACCACAGUACCUUGUUCAAUUAAAAUAUUUUUAAUAAUAAUUUUCAGCAAUAAUGCUGAUACAUACAGUUAUUUGUGUGAAAUCAAGAAAUGUCUUCUAAUGGAGAGACUAUAAAUCUUCCAAGAAAACAGCUAUAUGGUGGAAUAUGUAAUGAAUUAAAAUUUACAAACAGUACAAAGAAAUAUAAUUAAUUGAGAUGAAAUAUCUGUCAUAUAAGUAAACUGAAGCAAAAGUCAAACCUAAUAAAAGAGUAUUUAAUAGUUGAUAAAGCCAGGUGUGGUCCCAGCAAGGCUAGGAGGUCCCAGAUUCAAGGCUAGCCCGGGGAAUUUAGUGAGAUCCUGUCUCAAACUAAAAAAGUAGAAAGGGCUGUGGACUGGGAUAUAGUUUAGUGGUAGAGUGUACUGGGUUCAAUCUCCAGUACAACCCCCCUCCCCCCCAAAUAGCCAGGAAUAAGGCUGAGGGUGUAGCUCAGUGGUAGAGCAUAUGUCUAGCAUGCAUGAAAUCCUGGGUUUGAUCCCUAGCACUGCAAAAAAUAAACAACAACAACAACAAAACAGUAAAUAAUACUUUAGUAUUUUCGGCCUGUGGCUCUGUGAUGUCUGUCACAUCUGCUCAGCUUAUGAUAACCCCCGAAGCAGACAUGGACAGUAUUUAAGUGAAUGAGCAUGGCUGUAUUCAGUAAAAUUUUAUUUACAAAAACAGGCAGUGUUUCAAAUUUGUCCUCUAAACCAUAGGUUUUCUGAUUUACGAUCUUAAACAGUGUCUGAGAAAAGUUGAGAGCAAAGUAUGUGCAGAGAUUUAACUUGGCAAGCCACAUUGAACUCAACACAGAGAAUUGAUUGAGUUACUUUUGUUUUUCUUUUUGCAGAUCUAGGGAUUGAACCCAGGGCCUUUGUGCAUGCCAGACUCUUAUCACUGAAGUAUAUCCCCAGCCCUGCUAUUUCUUCCCCCCUCCCUCCCUCUUUUUCCCGUUCCCCCCAUUCCUUUCUUGUAUGUUAAACAUACUCUACUCCAAUCCUUCCCUUCCUCCCUUCCUUAUUUUUUUGUACUGGAGAUUGAACUCAGAGGCACUUUACCACUGAGCCACAUCCCCACCCCUUUUAAUUUUUUACUAAGUUGUUUUGGGCCUUGCUGAGGCUGGCUUUGGCACCUUCCUGCCUCUGCCUCCAGAGUCGCUGGGAUUACAGGUGUAUGCCAUCAUACCCAGCUCACCAUUAAAAUUUUUAAGACAAAAAGAUAAGGGAAAAAUAGAAGUUAGAUUAUAGUAGGGGAUUUUUGAUUCAACUCUUCCAGUCCUUGAUAGAACAAUAAUAGAGAAUAGGUUAUGA